GGCCCCAUCGUCUAGUGGUUAGGACAUCGGCUUUUCAAGCCGGCAACACCGGUUCGAACCCGGUUGGGGCUA
RNAcentral lists this transfer RNA (72 nucleotides) under Candidatus Portnoybacteria bacterium CG23_combo_of_CG06-09_8_20_14_all_37_13. RNAcentral describes it as "tRNA-Glu". It matches the Rfam family "tRNA". From Rfam's summary of the family: Transfer RNA (tRNA) molecules are approximately 80 nucleotides in length. Their secondary structure includes four short double-helical elements and three loops (D, anti-codon, and T loops). Lineage: Bacteria; Candidatus Portnoyibacteriota. The record is from RNAcentral.